GUGGGGAAUCUUAGACAAUGGGGGAAACCCUGAUCUAGCCAUGCCGCGUGAGCGAUGAAGGCCUUAGGGUUGUAAAGCUCUUUCAGCUGGGAAGAUAAUGACGGUACCAGCAGAAGAAGCCCCGGCUAACUCCGUGCCAGCAGCCGCGGUAAUACGGAGGGGGCUAGCGUUGUUCGGAAUUACUGGGCGUAAAGCGCGCGUAAGCGGACCAGAAAGUUGGAGGUGAAAUCCCAGGGCUCAACCUUGGAACUGCCUUCAAAACUCCUGGUCUGGAGUUCGAGAGAGGUGAGUGGAAUUCCGGGUGUAGAGGUGAAAUUCGUAGAUAUUCGGAGGAACACCAGUGGCGAAGGCGGCUCACUGGCUCGAUACUGACGCUGAGGUGCGAAAGCGUGGGGAGCAAACAGGAUUAGAAACCCGAGUAGUCC
Molecule: ribosomal RNA, 425 nt
Filed under: uncultured bacterium
Lineage: Bacteria
Description: partial 16S ribosomal RNA
Rfam family: Bacterial small subunit ribosomal RNA
Source: RNAcentral